GACGAACGCUGGCGGCGUGCUUAACACAUGCAAGUCGAACGGAAAGGCCCUGCUUUUGUGGGGUGCUCGAGUGGCGAACGGGUGAGUAACACGUGAGUAACCUGCCCUUGACUUUGGGAUAACUUCAGGAAACUGGGGCUAAUACCGGAUAGGAGCUCCUGCGGCACGGUGGGGGUUGGAAAGUUUCGGCGGGUGGGGAUGGACUCGGGGCUUAUCAGCUUGUUGGUGGGGUAGUGGGUUACCAAGGCUUUGACGGGUAGCCGGCCUGAGAGGGUGACCGGCCACAUUGGGACUGAGAUACGGCCCAGACUCCUAUGGGAGGCAGCGGUGGGGAAUAUUGCACAAUGGGCGGAAGCCUGAUGCAGCAACGCCGCGUGCGGGAUGACGGGCUUCGGGUUGUAAACCGCUUUCGCCUGUGACGAAGCGUGAGUGACGGUAAUGGGUAAAGAAGCACCGGCUAACUACGUG
RNAcentral lists this ribosomal RNA (468 nucleotides) under uncultured bacterium. Its description in RNAcentral is "partial 16S ribosomal RNA". It matches the Rfam family "Bacterial small subunit ribosomal RNA", at positions 28 to 507 of the family's 1533-position model. The record is from RNAcentral.